AGGUUGUUAGUUUAAAAAAAACUCUUGAUUUCGACUCAAAAACUUGUGGUUAAAGCCCACAACCGCCUA
Molecule: transfer RNA, 69 nt
Filed under: Pelvicachromis pulcher (rainbow krib)
Lineage: Eukaryota; Metazoa; Chordata; Actinopteri; Cichliformes; Cichlidae
Description: tRNA-Arg
Rfam family: tRNA
About the family: Transfer RNA (tRNA) molecules are approximately 80 nucleotides in length. Their secondary structure includes four short double-helical elements and three loops (D, anti-codon, and T loops).
Source: RNAcentral